UCUUCCCCCAUAACUUUUCCGCUUCGUUUCUCCAAUCUCUGAGUUCGAGUUUUGCGUAACCUUUAAACUCUUCUUCAAUUUUUCUUUCUACCUCCCUAUGAUUCUUUAUCUUUCAAAUCCAGACGUUUCAUGAUUUUAUCAUUCACUUGCUAUAAAUUAGGACCAUACCCACGAACCCUCACCACCCCAAACCAAGUCCUUUGCAGUUCUUAUUUUUCUAUUCCUUUUCCGUCAUGGCUUACGUCGAUUUUGUCACAGCAUACUUUACAGUCGAUCUUUACCGUUGUUUUCUCAAGAGAUUGUCUGGGACUCAUCCAUCACUGGGAUUAUUAGGUUUGUAAUCUACCUUGCCUGUUCAAUCGCUAUUAAUCUCGAUACCAAGAGCUUCUCGCGGAUAAACAUGUUCUGAUUGCAUCGCCUCCAAAGAAAAUACUCUGAAAAUACUCAGGAGCUGGAAGAGGAACUGAAGCUUCUCAGCCAAAUAUAGUUGUAAGAAAUUAAAGCUUUCUGUAUUUCUUACAAUGUCCGGUACACCCACUACGUAUUUGUUUCUUUUAUAUCAUGAAGCCUGAAAACAAUAAGUUGUGAUUGGUUUCUUUUAUAUCAUGAAGCCUGAAAACAAUAAGAGAGGGAGAGGGAGAGGGAGAGGGAGCAGGUAAUAUUGGAUGUUAUCAGCGAGGAAGCUGGAGCAUUGGCCACUGCUGACGGAACCAAGAGCUUCAACUCAAGUAUCAUUUAAACUAAUGCUCUUCAGGAUUUUUUAAAGAAAGAUUGUUUUAAAAAAAUCCAUCUGUUGCAGCAGUGUCAGUUGUGGUUGUUAUAGAUAAGAGUGAUGGUAAGAAGUAAUAGAAAUAGUUUAGAAGGAUCUUCUGUUAACAACGGUAUCAUUGUCUCGGGGAUUGCUCGAAAGCUUCCUCCACUGUGUCGUCCACGCAAACAAUCGUUAACCUCUUCGGGUUCGAGGAGGAAGUUGAUGUCUGCGUUUGAUUAUGAGAGGUUAAAGAUUUAGAACGAAGUGGAACAGUUGAGAGAAAGCUUAAAAGUUGUUCAAGAGGAAAGAAAAGAGCUUACAAGACGAGCAUCUUUGCCUCCUUUGUCAUCAAAGGUUAGGGUUACGUCAAAGAAUCGAGGUUCGAGAAGAUCUUCCAUGGAUCUUCACUCUUCUUGAAACUUUUUAGACAUAUGUUUUUUUUUGAGCAAAAUUUAGACAUAUGUUUGUGUGUAUAGUUCUGAUGAUUAUGUGUUUGUAUAUCACUUUUAUGGUGAUACUGUAAUACCAUCAAAAAUCAUAGUUUUGGUUGCUUUAUGCUAUUACCAUCUUCUCAACUUUUUGAUGUAAGACAAAUCUUUUGAAUAUUUGGAAGAAAUAUUUUUCUUAUAA
Long non-coding RNA from Raphanus sativus (radish), 1381 nucleotides. RefSeq lists it as uncharacterized. The transcript has 4 exons. The record is from RefSeq and is a predicted model, not a curated record. NCBI's taxonomy places the organism in Eukaryota, Viridiplantae, Streptophyta, Magnoliopsida, Brassicales, Brassicaceae.